GACGAACGCUGGCGGCGUGCUUAACACAUGCAAGUCGAACGGUGAAGGGACCGGUUUUUGCUGGUUCUGGAUGCGUGGCGCACGGGUGAGUAACACGCGAGUAACCUUCCCCUUUCUUCUGGAUAACCGCAUGAAAGUGUGGCUAAUACGGGAUAUUCACCGUCUGCUGCAUGGCGGGUGUGGGAAAGAUAUUGUUCCCUGUGGGGAUGGCCUCGCGGCCUAUCAGCUUGUUGGUGGGUUGCUGCCCUACCAAGGCGGUGACGGGUAGCCGGCAUGAGAGGGUGUGCGGUCACACUGGGACUGAGACACGGGCAAGACACUUACGCGGGACAGAGGUGGGGGGUAUUGUACAAUGGGCGCGAGCGUGAUGCAGCGACGCCGCGUGAGGAGUGGGGCCGUUCGGGUUGUAAUCCUCUUUCGCUAGUGAGGCAGGCCUGUCGCUUUUGUGGGUGGGUUGACGGUAGCUGGAGAAGAAGCGCCGGCUAACUACGUG
RNAcentral lists this ribosomal RNA (493 nucleotides) under uncultured bacterium. RNAcentral's name for it is "partial 16S ribosomal RNA". It matches the Rfam family "Bacterial small subunit ribosomal RNA", at positions 28 to 507 of the family's 1533-position model. The record is from RNAcentral.